Molecule: ribosomal RNA, 495 nt
Filed under: uncultured bacterium
Lineage: Bacteria
Description: partial 16S ribosomal RNA
Rfam family: Bacterial small subunit ribosomal RNA
Source: RNAcentral
ACUCAAAGGAAUAGACGGGGGCCCGCACAAGCGGUGGAGCAUGUGGUUUAAUUCGACGCAACGCGAAGAACCUUACCUGGGCUCGAACGGCUGCAGACAGGCUUUAGAAAUAGAGUCCUUCCCGCAAGGGACUGUAGUCGAGGUGCUGCAUGGCUGUCGUCAGCUCGUGUCGUGAGAUGUUGGGUUAAGUCCCGCAACGAGCGCAACCCUUGUCCUGUGUUGCAACUUACAGGCACUCUCAGGAGACCGCCAGCGAUAAGCUGGAGGAAGGUGGGGAUGACGUCAAGUCAUCAUGGCCUUUAUGUCCAGGGCUACACACGUGCUACAAUGGACGGUACAAACCGCUGCAAACUCGCGAGAGGGAGCUAAUCGGAAAAAACCGUUCUCAGUUCGGAUUGCAGGCUGCAACUCGCCUGCAUGAAGCUGGAAUCGCUAGUAAUGGUAUAUCAGAACGAUACCGUGAAUACGUUCCCGGGCCUUGCACACACCGCCCGU